CCUCUCGUAGCUGAGCGGUCAGAACAUUGGUGCGUAAAGCCAAAGGUCCCGGGAUCGAUUCCCGGCGACAGCA
RNAcentral lists this transfer RNA (73 nucleotides) under Agrilus planipennis (emerald ash borer). It matches the Rfam family "tRNA". From Rfam's summary of the family: Transfer RNA (tRNA) molecules are approximately 80 nucleotides in length. Lineage: Eukaryota; Metazoa; Arthropoda; Insecta; Coleoptera; Buprestidae. The record is from Rfam by way of RNAcentral.